UACGAAGGGAUCUAGCGUUUUUCGGGUUUACUGGGCGUAAAGGGCGCGUAGGCGGUCUGAUAAGGAGGGUGUUAAAGCCCCGGGCUUAACCCGGUAGCUGCAUCCUAAACUAUCAGGCUUGAGUGUUGGAGAGGUAAGUAGAAUUCCCAGUGUAGAGGUGAAAUUCGUAGAUAUUGGGAAGAAUACCAGUGGCGAAGGCGGCUUACUGGACAACAACUGACGCUGAGACGCGAAAUCGUGGGGUGCAAACAGA
RNAcentral lists this ribosomal RNA (253 nucleotides) under uncultured bacterium. RNAcentral's name for it is "partial 16S ribosomal RNA". It matches the Rfam family "Bacterial small subunit ribosomal RNA", at positions 524 to 776 of the family's 1533-position model. The record is from RNAcentral.